GACGACAGUUCCUUGAACAUCAUAAACGCCGGAAAAACAGCGAGGACAACGGGGUUCUCACCGAGGGUCGACGGCAUCACGGACGGGGCUGCGCACAACACAUUAUUUCUCACGGGUAUUCCGUCGAACAGCCAAGGGGCAUUGAAGAGAACAGCAAGGGCGCUCAGCUAUGGGAUGGAAGCAGGGGCGCCAUGGAGGUUGCUGCCGCUGCUUGGUGUUUUGGAGGGUGGGCUGCUGUGCGCCAUGGAAGUUGCAAAGGGGAACUCGACGGGGUGGCUGGGACAGCAGGCAUGGUGUUGUGCUGCGCGUUGCUGGCUGCUGGCCGGAAAGCAGGGCAUCGGCCAUGGGCGACGGUGGCCUCACCUGCUCGA
Molecule: unclassified non-coding RNA, 371 nt
Filed under: Zea mays
Lineage: Eukaryota; Viridiplantae; Streptophyta; Magnoliopsida; Poales; Poaceae
Description: misc RNA Zm00001eb268850
Source: RNAcentral